AAGCUCAGAAAUAAAACAUCAGUCAUCUAAACCAAUGGAUUUUCUGAAGGAAUAUCUUUAGCAGUAUGCCCUGAAAUGCCUUGGGGAUUCAAGCUGUCCCUUAAGCAAUGCUGCAGACGAUGCAGAAAAAUCAGCAAAACUAGACCAUAAUGAAGAAUACUCUUGUGUAUUGAGAGCUACUGGGCUGCAGAUCCACCACUAAAAAUCUCUAGUGCUUCAUACUGAACCAAGAAAAGAAAAAUACAAAAUGAAAAAUCCUGCACUGGCUGAAGGACGUGCAGAAUUCUUUCCCAUCUCUAUUUGUUUUGAUUGUUAAUGCUUGUGUGAAACACUGCUGAACUGCCAUACAGCAAAUUCUCAGCAAGAGAUUAAUGUGUCUGGUUUGAUCUUCGAGCUCCUUUGAUAAGAUGCAGGCCAGUAGUAGGAGUUGGAUUCUUUUCUUGAUUGGUGAGUUUAAAACAACUGAAAACCUUCUUAUGCUAUGUACAUUUUGUAAACUACAAGCUUGAUUUGAAAACAUAACCAUUUUAGAGUUUUAGGCAAGUAAUUUUAAAUAAAUAAUUUAAAAUGUUACUCUGGAACA
RNAcentral lists this long non-coding RNA (583 nucleotides) under Zonotrichia albicollis (white-throated sparrow). RNAcentral's name for it is "lncRNA (ENSZALG00000017627.1)". The record is from RNAcentral. Lineage: Eukaryota; Metazoa; Chordata; Aves; Passeriformes; Passerellidae.